This 216-nucleotide long non-coding RNA is filed under the name Hordeum vulgare. RNAcentral describes it as "long non-coding RNA (HVUL_LNC016207)". Lineage: Eukaryota; Viridiplantae; Streptophyta; Magnoliopsida; Poales; Poaceae. The record is from RNAcentral.
UUCUUUUUGUGUUUGAUCCAAGCAAAACCUUUAUGACUAGUCUUGGUGAUGGUUGUUUGAUCCUGCUGGAAAAAGACAGAAACUUUUCGCUCACGAGAUUAUUUUUCAUUUUUAUUCAGAAAGAGAUUUUGAGUUUAUUCUUUUUUCUUCUGGUUGAUAUGUCUUUUUCCUAGGCAGUAGUAAGUUUUCAGAAUUUUGGAGGUACCAGAAGUAUAC